RNAcentral lists this ribosomal RNA (486 nucleotides) under uncultured Vibrio sp. RNAcentral describes it as "bacterial SSU rRNA". It matches the Rfam family "Bacterial small subunit ribosomal RNA", at positions 8 to 476 of the family's 1533-position model. The record is from RNAcentral. Lineage: Bacteria; Pseudomonadati; Pseudomonadota; Gammaproteobacteria; Vibrionales; Vibrionaceae.
AGAGUUUGAUCAUGGCUCAGAUUGAACGCUGGCGGCAGGCCUAACACAUGCAAGUCGAGCGGAAACGAGUUCUCUGAACCUUCGGGGAACGUGAACGGCGUCGAGCGGCGGACGGGUGAGUAAUGCCUGGGAAAUUGCCCUGAUGUGGGGGAUAACCAUUGGAAACGAUGGCUAAUACCGCAUAAUAGCUUCGGCUCAAAGAGGGGGACCUUCGGGCCUCUCGCGUCAGGAUAUGCCCAGGUGGGAUUAGCUAGUUGGUGAGGUAAGGGCUCACCAAGGCAACGAUCCCUAGCUGGUCUGAGAGGAUGAUCAGCCACACUGGAACUGAGACACGGUCCAGACUCCUACGGGAGGCAGCAGUGGGGAAUAUUGCACAAUGGGCGCAAGCCUGAUGCAGCCAUGCCGCGUGUAUGAAGAAGGCCUUCGGGUUGUAAAGUACUUUCAGCAGUGAGGAAGGUUCNNNGUUAAUAGCGUAGGNNNGACGUA